ACUCCUACGGGAGGCAGCAGUGGGGAAUUUUGGACAAUGGGGGCAACCCUGAUCCAGCCAUGCCGCGUGAGUGAAGAAGGCCUUCGGGUUGUAAAGCUCUUUCAGACGGAAAGAAACGGUUACGGCCAAUACCCGUGACUAAUGACGGUACCGUCAGAAGAAGCACCGGCUAACUACGUGCCAGCAGCCGCGGUAAUACGUAGGGUGCGAGCGUUAAUCGGAAUUACUGGGCGUAAAGCGUGCGCAGGCGGUUUUGUAAGACAGAUGUGAAAUCCCCGGGCUUAACCUGGGAACUGCAUUUGUGACUGCAAGACUAGAGUACGGCAGAGGGGGGUAGAAUUCCACGUGUAGCAGUGAAAUGCGUAGAUAUGUGGAGGAAUACCGAUGGCGAAGGCAGCCCCCUGGGUCGAUACUGACGCUCAUGCACGAAAGCGUGGGGAGCAAACAGGAUUAGAUACCCUGGUAGUCCACGCCCUAAACGAUGUCAACUAGGUGUUGGGGAAGGAGACUUCUUUAGUACCGCAGCUAACGCGAUAAGUUGACCGCCUGGGGAGUACGGUCGCAAGAUUAAAACUCAAAUGAAUUGACGG
RNAcentral lists this ribosomal RNA (590 nucleotides) under uncultured Sideroxydans sp. RNAcentral describes it as "bacterial SSU rRNA". It matches the Rfam family "Bacterial small subunit ribosomal RNA", at positions 335 to 916 of the family's 1533-position model. The record is from RNAcentral. Lineage: Bacteria; Pseudomonadati; Pseudomonadota; Betaproteobacteria; Nitrosomonadales; Gallionellaceae.